RNAcentral lists this long non-coding RNA (535 nucleotides) under Strigops habroptila (Kakapo). RNAcentral's name for it is "lncRNA (ENSSHBG00005014603.1)". The record is from RNAcentral. Lineage: Eukaryota; Metazoa; Chordata; Aves; Psittaciformes; Psittacidae.
CGUGGGGGACGGGGCCGGUCGCCUAGGCAACGCGGCGGUGGCGGCGGCGGCGCCAUGUCUGGUGCCAACAAGAAAGCUGAACUACUGAGAUUACAGAGAGAAGAAGAAGAAAGGAGGCGGAGAGAGGAAGAGGAAGCCAGAAUUCAAGCUGAACUAGAAGAAGCAGCAAGACUUGAAAAGGAGAGAAUUGAACAAGAGAUGAUGGCAAAGCUUGCAGCAAAAGAUCGAGAACGAAGGGAGGCUGAACUGGCAGAGCUUCAUUCACUGGAACAGAAGUUUUUGUCUGCAGAGCAGUGGAAAAUCGAUUAUAGAGCACAUGCAAAGGUAAGCUUGCUUUCCAAAAUCUGCCCAGUGUUACAGAGGUUCAACAAUGAAGAGACUUCAGCUAUGUCUCCAUUGCAGGAUCCAGGAGUUUCCAUUUCUUGAGUUUAGGUGUGUGCUAUGGCUGCAUUUCAAGUUUCAUCCUGAGGUAGUAACUGGCCAUGCUCACUCUUUUCUAUCUUCUAUAUAUUGUUGUACACAGAAAAGAAACAUG